ACUGGGGAUAAUUCCGGAUAGGCCACAGAUGCUGGAAUGCACUGUGGCUCAAAGCUCCGGCGCCGAAGGAUGGGUCUGCGGCCUAUCAGGGUAGUAGUGGGUGUAAUGUACCUACUAGCCUACGACGGGUACGGGUUGUGAGAGCAAGAGCCCGGAGAUGGAUUCUGAGACACGAAUCCAGGCCCUACGGGGUGCAGCAGGCGCGAAAACUUUACAACGCGGGAAACCGUGAUAAGGGAAUCUCGAGUGCCAGCAUAUAAUGUUGGCUGUCCAGAUGCCUAAAAAGCAUCUGUUAGCAAGGGCCGGGCAAGACCGGUGCCAGCCGCCGCGGUAACACCGGCGGCCCGAGUGGUAACCGCUUUUAUUGGGUCUAGAGGGUCUGUAGCCGGCCAUGUAAGUCCCUUGGGAAAUCUGGCAGCUCAACUGUCAGGCUGCUAGGGGAUACUGCUUGGCUUGGGACCGGGAGAGGUGAGAGGUACCUUGAGGGUAGGGGUGAAAUCUUGUGAUCCUCGGGGGACCACCAGUGGCGAAGGCGUCUCACCAGAACGGGUCCGACGGUAAGGGACGAAAGCUAGGGGCACGAACCGGAUUAGAUACCCGGGUAGUCCUAGCCGUAAACGAUGCUCGCUAGGUGUCAGUCACGGUGCGACCGUGAUUGGUGCCGUAGGGAAGCCGUGAAGCGAGCCACCUGGGAAGUACGGCCGCAAGGCUGAAACUUAAAGGAAUUGGCGGGGGAGCACUACAACGGGUGGAGCCUGCGGUUAUU
RNAcentral lists this ribosomal RNA (766 nucleotides) under uncultured archaeon. RNAcentral describes it as "bacterial SSU rRNA". It matches the Rfam family "Archaeal small subunit ribosomal RNA", at positions 139 to 905 of the family's 1478-position model. The record is from RNAcentral.